GCCGCCGCGGCUGCGCCGGGCCAACUGGGCCAGCGGCCCGAGGGCGGCCCUGGAAGUGCCGCGGCGAGCCUGGGACUGCCGGCUCCGCCUGCUCCUGUAAUCGGGCCGUGAAAGCGCCCGGCUAGUGCCACACGGACAGCCGGCCGGCCUGCAGCUCCUGCUGGGGAGCCAAGCGGGCAGGAGGUGCCCCCCUAAGCCGCUUCACUCUACCGCCACCACCGCCACCACCCUGCCCGGCUUUAACGUCACCAUUAUAAACGCCCUUUACAUGGGUGUCACGUAUCCGUGGCCAUCCGCCCGCUGGCGUCUGGCGCUGUCACUGCGAGCCGCUGUCACUGCAGCGCUGCGCUGGCUCACGAAGGGCUCCGGAGGGUUUGCGCUCUGUUUCGGUGUUUACUCAGAAUAAAUUCUUGGAGCAGGUUUCCGGCUGCGGAGCUGGGCUUUGGCUGUUGGCUGGAAUGCCCAGAAGAAACGAUUGCCCUGAAUGCUGUUCGAUCAACUCCCUGACACAACAGGGCCUGCUGGCUACCUUGGUGUCAUAUUGGCUUUGUAAAACUUAAGCCAGGCUGCCUGCAAGGAUUACACCAAUGGACAGAGACAGAUCUUGGGAAUGCUUCAAGCAGCAGGAUCCAGGACCUACCUGCCGAAAUAACUUCUAUGUCAAACCAAACAAUUCCAGGGGCAGAUUUCUGAGACUUCACUGUGGACUUCCAUCUCCUUCCUGUGCUCAUAAACCUCCAGCAAGCUUGGUAAGAUUAGCACUUCUGUGGUGGUUACGUGUGCAUCACCUCACUGAGCAUCUCAUGGCAUCAGUCUUAGCCACAAGCAUUCUAAGGAUCUGAGCCUGACUUCCCUCUGAUUGCCACGUUCACACCAAUGAAGAAUGAACUUUGAUAAAACAGAACAAGUGCAGCAGUGCUGGAAUGAGAGCCAACUCAAAUGUGCACCAUACAACAAUACAACACCGUACAUCAUCUUUCCUGCUUGAAGAACUGUUAUCAAAGAUGAAGGCCAAAGUCAUGGAGUAAAAGAAUGCAAUAAACUUUUUUUUUGCAUGUGUGUGUGUGUGUGGACAUUUUAUGAAUAUUUGAUAGAGGCAUUCCAUAGACUAAGAGAAUUAGUUUGUAUGUAUACCUGUCAAAACACAUGAAUAGGGAAGGUGAUGGGAUAUUGGGCAGUGUGAAACUUGGCAUGAUAUAAUGGUGUGAAAAAAGGGGUGGAUGUUGUCCUGGUUUCAGUUAAGGUAGAGUUAAUUUCUUCUCAGUAGCUAUUACAGUGCUGUGUUUUGGACUUUAAUGAGAAUGUUGUUGAUAACACACUGAUGUUUUGGUUUUUUCUAAGUGGUUUAUCCCUAGCCAAGGACUUUUUUUUCCCCCUUCUGUCUUGCUGUGCCAGUGAGGAGGUAAGCAAAAGAAACUGGGAGGGAGCACAGCUGGGACUGGUGAUCCAAGCUGACCAGAGGGAUAUUCCACACCAUAGAAUGUCAUGUGCAGUAUAUAAACUGGGGGAGUUACCUGGAAGGACAGUUGAUCUGGG
Vidua chalybeata is the source of this 1536-nucleotide long non-coding RNA. RefSeq lists it as uncharacterized. NCBI's taxonomy places the organism in Eukaryota, Metazoa, Chordata, Aves, Passeriformes, Viduidae. The record is from RefSeq and is a predicted model, not a curated record. The transcript has 4 exons.